Molecule: ribosomal RNA, 429 nt
Filed under: Bacteroidota bacterium
Lineage: Bacteria; Pseudomonadati; Bacteroidota
Description: Bacteroidetes bacterium partial 16S ribosomal RNA
Rfam family: Bacterial small subunit ribosomal RNA
Source: RNAcentral
UAGGGAAUCUUCCGCAAUGGACGCAAGUCUGACGGAGCAACGCCGCGUGAGUGAAGAAGGAUUUCGGUUCGUAAAACUCUGUUGUUAGAGAAGAACAGCGCAUAGAGUAACUGUUAUGCGUGUGACGGUAUCUAACCAGAAAGCCACGGCUAACUACGUGCCAGCAGCCGCGGUAAUACGUAGGUGGCAAGCGUUGUCCGGAUUUAUUGGGCGUAAAGCGAGCGCAGGCGGUCAAUUAAGUCUGAUGUGAAAGCCCCCGGCUCAACCGGGGAGGGUCAUUGGAAACUGGUUGACUUGAGUGCAGAAGAGGAGAGUGGAAUUCCAUGUGUAGUGGUGAAAUGCGUAGAUAUAUGGAGGAACACCAGUGGCGAAGGCGACUCUCUGGUCUGUAACUGACGCUGAGGUUCGAAAGCGUGGGUAGCAAACAGG